This 995-nucleotide ribosomal RNA is filed under the name uncultured organism. Its description in RNAcentral is "bacterial SSU rRNA". It matches the Rfam family "Bacterial small subunit ribosomal RNA", at positions 356 to 1376 of the family's 1533-position model. The record is from RNAcentral.
GGGGAAUAUUGCACAAUGGGGGAAACCCUGAUGCAGCGACGCCGCGUGGAGGAAGAAGGUCUUCGGAUUGUAAACUCCUGUUGUUGAGGAAGAUAAUGACGGUACUCAACAAGGAAGUGACGGCUAACUACGUGCCAGCAGCCGCGGUAAAACGUAGGUCACAAGCGUUGUCCGGAAUUACUGGGUGUAAAGGGAGCGCAGGCGGGAAGACAAGUUGGAAGUGAAAUCUAUGGGCUCAACCCAUAAACUGCUUUCAAAACUGUUUUUCUUGAGUAGUGCAGAGGUAGGCGGAAUUCCCGGUGUAGCGGUGGAAUGCGUAGAUAUCGGGAGGAACACCAGUGGCGAAGGCGGCCUACUGGGCACCAACUGACGCUGAGGCUCGAAAGUGUGGGUAGCAAACAGGAUUAGAUACCCUGGUAGUCCACACCGUAAACGAUGAUUACUAGGUGUCGGAGGAUUGACCCCUUCAGUGCCGCAGUUAACACAAUAAGUAAUCCACCUGGGGAGUACGACCGCAAGGUUGAAACUCAAAGGAAUUGACGGGGGCCCGCACAAGCAGUGGAGUAUGUGGUUUAAUUCGACGCAACGCGAAGAACCUUACCAAGUCUUGACAUCCUGCGACGAUGCUGGAAACAGCAUUUUCCUUCGGGACGCAGAGACAGGUGGUGCAUGGUUGUCGUCAGCUCGUGUCGUGAGAUGUUGGGUUAAGUCCCGCAACGAGCGCAACCCUUACUGUCAGUUACUACGCAAGAGGACUCUGGCAGGACUGCCGUUGACAAAACGGAGGAAGGUGGGGAUGACGUCAAAUCAUCAUGCCCUUUAUGACUUGGGCUACACACGUACUACAAUGGCGUUAAACAAAGAGAAGCAAGACCGCGAGGUGGAGCAAAACUCAGAAACAACGUCCCAGUUCGGACUGCAGGCUGCAACUCGCCUGCACGAAGUCGGAAUUGCUAGUAAUCGUGGAUCAGCAUGCCACGGUGAAUACGUUCCCG